Molecule: long non-coding RNA, 4814 nt
Filed under: Coffea arabica (coffee)
Lineage: Eukaryota; Viridiplantae; Streptophyta; Magnoliopsida; Gentianales; Rubiaceae
Description: long non-coding RNA (CARA_LNC007612)
Source: RNAcentral
GAGUUAACUGAGCAAAGUAAUGCAGGCAAGUAACUCAUACACAAUAGCCAAAAAUUAUCAAUUAUGAAAGAAACUACGCUAAAAAUCAGAACCAACAAUUUUAUUCCUUGGUCUCUGAUCCCUUAGCAGGGCAGGAAAUUUUAGAAGAAAAACAACAAACGUGAUUCCAUAAAGAUUCUCAUAAGGUAGAGCUGGACAAAAAUCAUGUGGGCUGCCUAUUUGCCUCCACAACAAACAGUGAAUCAGGGGGAAGGAAGGUAUAAAAUGUACCAAGCAAGCAAUAAAAUCUUCCUGACAAGGAAGAAAAAUGAAUCUUGUCUUAUUCAAGAUCACAAAAACCAUCAAAUAUUCAAAGCAACUGUGGUUACCCUCUCAUGCUGUUCAAAGGGGGUCGUUUUCUCCCACAAGUAAAUUCAACAAAAUAAAUUUCCUAGUUUAGAAGAGAGCUUCCUAAUCUGGGAGAUCGCCUCAUUUACAGGGGGAAAAAAAGAAAUAAAAACCGUAAAAUACAGCUAAAGCUAAAUCCUAUUGGCUAGUCCAUCGAAUCAAAGAAAAAAAUAUUACUCUGGCAGCUAAUUGUCAAUCACCGUGUCAAAAACAAUGUCACAUUUCCAUCCAACUCUUCCUUAGAUCUUCUUCUGGAUUUCGCGACCUCCUAAACAUUUUAUUAUUUUUCUAUACUUGGUGGAGUCAGUUGUUUAGCUUACAAUAGUCUGACUCUUGGCAUAUAACCAUGGGGAAGUGGGCAUCUCACCUUUGUCCAUGGAUAAAGAAAAGGACAAAUAAAGUUCACAACUUUCCAAGAAUUUCGAAACGAACCUUUACCAGCCAAACUAUUUCCCCAAUCUCCAAAGUCAAAACCUCAUUCCACAUUUCCCACCACUUCUUGUCCUUUUGCUAUCUCUCACCCACUAGAUCUAACCCGUACCCCUAAGUAUAUUAGUCUUAAAGUUUAAUAUAGUAUUCUUACCAUAAAGCUUUUCACCAUUCUUAUCAUCCAAUAUAAAACGCUCAAGCUCUAAAGUAGCAACAGUAACCAAUUAUAUCAUUGAUUUUCCUCGGAUCCCAACAAAAAUUACAGCUAUUUAAUUCACAAAUGAAAAGGGAAAAAAAACCAUCAGCGAAUUCUUUUUCAAAACGGAAAAAUUUUUAAAAAUAAAACGCACAAAGGAAAAAUGGAAAUAAAAAACUACAGUCGGUAUUUUUCUUUACCUGGUUAUUCAUAUGUGGUACAACCAAAAGGGAUAUCUUCCAGUAUCUCCAGUAGACUGAUGAUGGAUUCUCUCUUCACUGCAAAGUUUCCAAACCAUGAUCAUCAGCUCCAACACUAAAAACAUACUAAACCUUAACCUUCAAAAAAAAGAAAAUAAAAAAAAAAAGCUUUAGCAAUCAUAGAACAUCAAAAUUCAUGAAAUACAUUAAAAGAUCGAAUCCCAGUAACAGUAAAGCAAAACAGAUCAGAGAAGAGAAGCACAGAAGAUUUAGUGUGUAAAGAUCUAAAAUUCUCACAUACCAUCUAUAGCAAAAGAGGGAAAGAACAGUUUUUUUUUUCCAGCAGUAAUGAUGAAGAAAGAGAAGAAAAACCACCAAGUUAUAAAUUUUAUGCAGGGGGGGGCCUCCAGGCUUCAGCUAUAACAGAGGGAAUUCAGCUAUGUGUUACCAAUUUAAAUAGUGCUAGUAUUUUAGAGGGUCAACUCUCGCCAGUCGCCGCCCCAGAAGGAGGCAGCAGAAGCUCCUUCUUGGACCUUUGGAUGUAUGGAAAAUUGCAAAAUGGGGAGGGAGAAAAAGGAAAGAGUGGAUGGCAACUCUUAUUAUAUGUGUACACUGUAGAGGCAGACUGGAGCGCACGAAGUGGGCUAAAGAUAAUACUAAGUGGUAGUGUCCGUAACAAAUCAGUUUCAAUGCCAUUAAUUAUUGGAAUCAUCAUUAUCACACAGUAAUUAGUAGUAUUAAUUAAAAGAGGAUGUGUCUAAUUGUACCUAUUAGGUACGCGUUAAUAUAUAUUUGAAAAUAUAAGAUUAAUUAGAGAAUAUGUAUAAAUAUAAGAAAAAUUAAUAAUAAUUGUUAAUAUGUGUAUAUACAUGAUAGAUUAAAUAAAAUUUAGAUAUAUUAAUGAGUGUCGAAUGGACAUCAAUUUUAAAAACCGUAAAAAACUUAUGGUUAUGGCUUAAAGUCAUUAAUAAUUGGAUUCAUUACCACAGUAAGUAUUAAAAAGAUUUUGGUAAUGGGGUAACAUUUUCUUUUUUUUUUUUACUAUUAUUUUGGACGACAGAAAUAGAAAGGUAAAUAUGUUAUCUUAUAGUAAUUCUUUAUACAAAAUAUUGCAGUCGGCGAAGCUUAAGAUCUCUCUUUGGAGCAAGUUUUUAAAAUUUCAUUUUUCAGAUUGUAGGACAGAAAACAAGGGAAAAAUUGGGUCUUGAUGGAGGGUGGACAACAAAAUUUGGAUGGUUUUUUGUUCUCUGUCAGAUGUGAUAUUCUUUUAUUGUCAUAUAUGUGAGGUGAAGUGGGAAAGUCUGACAAUGGAAUUAGAAGACUAUUAACUAAAGAAGAGAAUAGAAGGGCUGACCAAAACUUUUUCUACGUGGAAAGGGUGCGCGUGGGGAGGCCUGGCAUAGGGACAAAGUGGAAGUCAAGAUGCGAGUUGGUUACUUGGAGAUGGAUUAUUGGAUUGGUGCUGUUUUCUUCUUCUUCUUCUUCUUGUCUUCUGCUGCAAUAAAGUUUAAAAAAAAACAAAUCAACAAGGAAAUUGAUGGGGUGCUUUAUGCUACUUAUUGCCAUACUAUCGUAUCAGCAAACUCUGGCAACAUAAAAAAGAUUACCAGAUAUAAAUAAAAAGGGCGAAAACUAAUAUAACCAAUUUAUGGAGUAUAAUUUUAUGUGUAUAGUUUAGUUUAGACUUUUUUAUUCCGGUCUCAAAGUAAAACCUUCUUAAAAUUUUGUAGAAUUUUUUUAAUAGGUGGUUAGGACAUUCUUUAGUAUACCUAAAUUACUGAUGUGAAUGCGCGCACCCAUUCGCGUUAAUUACAUCUCUUCAUUUAGACAUUUUUUUCAAAUUAAUUUCGCUUUUUAUCAAAAAAAAAUUAACAAUCAAGCCCUUUAUUUAAUAAUAGAGCAAGAAUUUCUCCCCAAUAUUUAACCAAUUCAAUCUCCAUUUAUUAGCCCACCACGAAUCAGACGGGAUCCUCUAUCCAUUAUAUCUGUUCUUUUUUUUUUAUCCAAUGCAAAAUUACGCAGUUCCACUUAUUAAUAUUGUUGAUGUGGCACAUAACAUUGAAUGCAUAUUUAGGGGUGGCAAGCUAUUGAAUGAGAGAAAAUAACGGAGUACCUCUUCAGUUCAGUGUGUUACGUAGACGUAAUUUUUUUUAUUACGUUAAAAGAGGUAUUGAUUAUAGUUUAAAAAAUCCCUUAUUUUGGAGAUAAACAACCUAUUAUGAUGGUUUCAGCAAACAACACCUGCUAUCAACUGCCCUUGAAAGCCAAAUGAUUUGAGUUUGAUGCUUUGCCUUUGGAUAUAUCGUUUUGCUUGGCGCGUGUACAAAUUUUGCCACUUAAAAAACACUGGGCUUUGAUUCAAUGGCUAAGAGAGCAGUUAUCUUGUGUAACAGUCAAGGGUUGGAGGAUACAGUAAUGUAGUUGUCGUUUAUCCCCAAUUGGACUUCCCAUAGUAUAAAAGUGGAGUUGAUUAUUAACAUUUGAUUAAAAAAAUCUAUUCAUCAAAUCUUAAUUUUCAUUUUUUUUUAUUAUCAAUCAAUAACUUCUACAGCAUUUCUACUCUAACCUGUCUAGGGAGGGUUCAACUGGAUUAAGGGGAUUAGAAAAAAGUGGUUUCCACCUUUAAAUCAAAGGGGAGCACUACUGCACAUUAAGUCUAUACAUCAAAAUUUAAUAAUUUUUUUUUGUACAGACCGAUUUUAUUUCACAUUGAAUCAAAAUGAAUUGAGAGGCCACAAUUUUCAAUUGUACUUCAAUUAUCUAGAGAGUUGCCAUCCCAAACUCAUGUACAUAUUUCCAUUUCUGGGGGUUAGAAUGCUUUUCUUUUUUGUCUUUAAUGCUGAACAUGAAUACUAUUCCCUCCGUCACACUUCACUUUGAUAGUUUUGAUUUUUUUUUCUCACACAGGUCAAGAAAAAUUAAUCAACUUUAUUGAAAAAGUUCAUCUAGUCUAGUAUUUUACUAAAAUAUCAUUACAUUAAUAUUUGGAGUGUUAUUAAUCAUUAUACCUUAACAUUAAUUACAAUAAUAAUAAUGAUGGUAUUUAAAUCAGUUGACUGUAUUAAAUAAGGUAACCUAUAUUUACUGAUAAUAAAGUAUAUUAAAUAAGAGUAUUUUAGAGAAGUUAAAAUUUUAGUAUAUUUUUCAAUGGGAAGGUUGAUUAUAACUUAGAACGGAUGAAAAAGAAAAACAAGACUAUUAAAAUUGAACGGAAAGAGUAUUAGCUUUCAAUCAAAUGUACGUUUGAAUUGCAAUAUCUUCCACAUUGAAACCAUAUAGUAAUAAUCAAUUUAGAAAAAAAAAAAAGUAUAAAAUGUUUGAAUUCAUUAAGAAUGUUUGACUUGAAAGAGAAAGGCUUUACUUUGGUUUCCUACGCAAACACUUGUCCUUCACAGAAUUAUUGCUUAAUUAGGUAAGCUUGAUUUACAUAUUCAUUUGGUUUUCAACUUUCAAUAAAAUGUUUGCUCGAAGUAUUCUCGAUCAUCCAAAAUAAGUUAGUUUGUCGGACUCUAAUUUCUGAUCUAUAUGGUAAUUAGCUCCGCUGAAAUUUUGCGUCUGACAAUUAAGGCAAAAAAAAAAAAGAAAAAAAAAGCUUCCUACUC